GACGAACGCUGGCGGCGUGCUUAACACAUGCAAGUCGAACGCUGAAGGCCCAGCUUGCUGGGUUGGAUGAGUGGCGAACGGGUGAGUAACACGUGAGUAACCUGCCCUCUUCUUUGGGAUAACGGUCGGAAACGGCUGCUAAUACCGGGUAUUCACUGUCCUUCGCAUGGGGGGUGGUGGAAAGGUUUUUUCUGGUGGGGGAUGGGCUCGCGGCCCAUCAGCUUGUUGGUGGGGUGAUGGCUUCCCAAGGCUUUGCCGGGUGACCGGCCUGAGAAUGUCACCGGUUUUUUGGCACUGAGUUACGCCUACCACUCCCACUGUUUGGAUUUGUGUGGAAAUAUUUUUUAAUGCCUGAAGGCCCCAUCUACCACGCCCCUGGGCUGAAGGAGGGCUUCCGUUUUUGAACGUCAUUUUAAAGGGUCACUCCGCAGGAGCGGUGGCGGUGGGGUGACCCAUAGAGAGGCCGGCUUUCCCGCUGGGCCGCGGUUCUACUUUUUAUUUGCGAACUUUGAGCUGAAUCGGGGGGGCUACUGGCUCUAACUCUCCUCAUCCCCCCAUACCUCAAAAAACUUCGGGAGAAAAGGAGGGGAUACUAGUGUUUUUUCCGUGGUUGUAUAAGAGAGAGAAGAGAGAAUGAUGAGUCUAGUGUUUUCUUCUCUCUUGAUCUACCACCCACACA
RNAcentral lists this ribosomal RNA (679 nucleotides) under uncultured Enterobacteriaceae bacterium. RNAcentral describes it as "partial 16S ribosomal RNA". The stretch from base 4 to 471 matches the Rfam family "Bacterial small subunit ribosomal RNA", at positions 31 to 542 of the family's 1533-position model. Lineage: Bacteria; Pseudomonadati; Pseudomonadota; Gammaproteobacteria; Enterobacterales; Enterobacteriaceae. The record is from RNAcentral.